GGAGAUUUAGAGAGAUGGAAAAAUUACUUAGUCCUCAUGACCACAAAAUGAGAAGAAUAGUAGCUUCCAUCUGUCAAGGAUGUUGUGAGUGAUCCUAUAAUAUCCCUUCAAGAGAAAUAUGUGACUAAUAAACCAGGUUGAAAAGAAUCACCCACUCAGUUUACUCAACAGAUAUUUUCUG
Molecule: long non-coding RNA, 181 nt
Filed under: Mustela putorius furo (domestic ferret)
Lineage: Eukaryota; Metazoa; Chordata; Mammalia; Carnivora; Mustelidae
Description: lncRNA (ENSMPUG00000028059.1)
Source: RNAcentral